This 457-nucleotide ribosomal RNA is filed under the name Acinetobacter sp. MAL40. RNAcentral describes it as "bacterial SSU rRNA". It matches the Rfam family "Bacterial small subunit ribosomal RNA", at positions 875 to 1332 of the family's 1533-position model. Lineage: Bacteria; Pseudomonadati; Pseudomonadota; Gammaproteobacteria; Moraxellales; Moraxellaceae. The record is from RNAcentral.
GGGGAGUACGGUCGCAAGACUAAAACUCAAAUGAAUUGACGGGGGCCCGCACAAGCGGUGGAGCAUGUGGUUUAAUUCGAUGCAACGCGAAGAACCUUACCUGGCCUUGACAUACAGAGAACUUUCCAGAGAUGGAUUGGUGCCUUCGGGAAUUUUGAUACAGGUGCUGCAUGGCUGUCGUCAGCUCGUGUCGUGAGAUGUUGGGUUAAGUCCCGCAACGAGCGCAACCCUUUUCCUUAUUUGCCAGCACUUCGGGUGGGAACUUUAAGGAUACUGCCAGUGACAAACUGGAGGAAGGGGGGGAGGAGGUCAAGUCAUCAUGGCCCUUACGGCCAGGGCUACACACGUGCUACAAUGGUCGGUACAAAGGGUUGUUACUGCGCGAGCAGAUGCUAAUCUCAAAAAGCCGAUCGUAGUCCGGAUCGCAGUCUGCAACUCGACUGCGUGAAGUGGGAAU